CGCCGCGCCGUACAGUCGUGCGCUCCGCCCGCCCAAGUGUUCCAAGGAAACAAUCAAAAACAAUUAUCUCUACUAUAAAAAACCCGAAGUAACUCACCACGUAUUAUGGAUAAGCUGUGGGCAGAUCGGAGUCAUCGCGGUGGGGCACCUAGGGACGGUCGCGACUACGAUAAUAUGGAGGGGUAUUGGAAUAAUUGGAAUAUGGAGACUGCGAC
Molecule: unclassified non-coding RNA, 215 nt
Filed under: Melitaea cinxia (Glanville fritillary)
Lineage: Eukaryota; Metazoa; Arthropoda; Insecta; Lepidoptera; Nymphalidae
Description: misc RNA ENSMCXG00005004714.1
Source: RNAcentral